AUUGAACGCUGGCGGCAGGCCUAACACAUGCAAGUCGAGCGGAUGAAGGGAGCUUGCUCCUGGAUUCAGCGGCGGACGGGUGAGUAAUGCCUAGGAAUCUGCCUGGUAGUGGGGGAUAACGUCCGGAAACGGGCGCUAAUACCGCAUACGUCCUGAGGGAGAAAGUGGGGGAUCUUCGGACCUCACGCUAUCAGAUGAGCCUAGGUCGGAUUAGCUAGUUGGUGGGGUAAAGGCCUACCAAGGCGACGAUCCGUAACUGGUCUGAGGGGAUGAUCAGUCACACUGGAACUGAGACACGGUCCAGACUCCUAUGGGAGGCAGCAGUGGGGAAUAUUGGACAAAGGGCGAAAGCCUGAUCCAGCCAUGCCGCGUGUGUGAAGAAGGUCUUCGGAUUGUAAAGCACUUUAAGUUGGGAGGAAGGGCAGUAAGUUAAUACCUUGCUGUUUUGACGUUACCAACAGAGUAAGCACCGGCUAACUUCGUG
Molecule: ribosomal RNA, 484 nt
Filed under: uncultured bacterium
Lineage: Bacteria
Description: partial 16S ribosomal RNA
Rfam family: Bacterial small subunit ribosomal RNA
Source: RNAcentral